Molecule: long non-coding RNA, 172 nt
Organism: Sorex fumeus (smoky shrew)
Lineage: Eukaryota; Metazoa; Chordata; Mammalia; Eulipotyphla; Soricidae
Exons: 3
Source: RefSeq, a predicted model, not a curated record
GCGAGAUGCGAUGCUGACCGCCUUCCUCCUCCGGAAAUCAUCAGCAGGGGACAAGAUACAGAACCCCGACGAAAUUGGGAAAAUCAAGAGAGAUGUGAUAAUUGAAUAUUGUCAGAAAUUAACCCACCGUAUGUCUCACCAUGCACUUCGAGGUCAAAUCCUGGUGUACUGC